UUUUUUUUUUUUUUUUUUUUCUUUUCUUUUUUCUUCCCUUUCCUUCCUUUCUUUUUGGUUUAGAGAAGCCCUUUCAAUAUUUCCUUUAACCUGGGUUUUGUGUUGCUGUAUUCUUUAAGUUUUUGUUUGUUGGGAAAAAUUUUUAUUUCCCCUUCUAUUUUAAAUGAUAUUCUUGCUGGAUAGAGUAUUCUAGGUUGCAUAUUUUUUCCUUUGAGCACUUUAAAUAUCUCUUGCCAUUCCCUCCUGGCCUGUAGUGUUUCUGUAGAGAAAUCAGCUGAUAUUCUUAUGGGGGUUCCCUUGUAGGUAACAUUCUGUUUUUCUCUUGCUGCCUUUAGGAUCCUCUCUUUAUCACUAACUUUUGCCAUUUUUAUUAUGAUGUGUCUUGGUGUGGGUCUGUUUGGGUUCAGUUUGUUUGGGGCCCUCUGUGCUUCUUGUAUCUUGAAUCCAGUAUCCUUUAGAUUUGGGAAGUUUCCAGCGAUAAUUUCUUCAAAUAUAUUUUCCAUUCCCUUAUCUUUUUCUACUCCUUCUGGAAUUCCUAUUAUGCGUAGAUUGGCCCGCUUUAUAUUAUCCCAUAGGUCUCUUAUAUUGCUUUCCAGUUUUUUGAUUCGGUUUUCUGUCUGUUGACCAGAUUGAGUGAUUUCCAUUAUUCUAUCUUCCAUAUCACUGAUUCGUUCUUCUGCAUUAUUCAUUCUGGUUUUUACUGCCCCUAGUUCAGUUUGCAUCUCUGCAAAUGAAUGUUCUAGUUUUUCUUGGCUCCUCCUUAUAUUUUCUAGUUCCUUUCUGAGGGUAUCUGCAUUACUGUUCAUAUCUUCUCUUAAUUCCUUCAGUAUUUUCACUAUUUCUCUUUUGAACUCCAGGUCUGUCUGACUGCAGAGAUCUGUUUCAUUGUUGACUGUUUUAGGUGAGUUCUCCUGUUGGUUUGACUGGGGGUGGUUUCUCAGCUUCUUCAUCUUGCUUGUUGUUUUCUUUCUCCUGAGGGAGUUGUACUCUCCGUUAUCGGGCAGUGUUUGCCUUGUCACUGCCGUGGAAUAUUUCCUGAGGGCUGGCGUUGUUGGUCAAUCUUUUUUGAGGCAGUGUGGCUUUUCUGGAGUGUUGAUGGGGCUAACAGUGUUUCUUUGAAGCAAAGGAGGACUUCCUGAGGGCAGACAGGACUGGGAGGUCCACACCACGAUGGUAGCAGAUUUCACUUGCCCCUGGGGGCUUGGGCGGGUAGCAGGGCCGUUGGAGACCCAAGAGGCUCCUCCCCAGGGCAGCCCGACUCAGAAAAACCGUCUGAGAUCUUUUCCCGACUCGGCCAGGCUUGUUGCAGCUUUUCUGGGCUGCAGGGGGUCCUGCCUGGAGCUGGCAGUCCUAUGCAGCUGGUCCACUAGGUCUCAGCACCCCCUGGGGUCUUGGGCGGGUAGCAGGGCCCUUGGAGACUCAAGAGGCUCCUCCCCAGGACAGCCCGACUCAGAAAGACCGUCUGAGAUCUUUUCCCAAUUCGGCCAAGCUUGUUGCAGCUUUUCUGGGCUGCAGGGGCUCUUCCAGGGGGCUGGUGGUGCUGAGCAGCUAUUCCGUGGGAGUGGGGCACCCCCUGAGGGCUUGGGUGGCUAGCAGGGCUGUUGGAGACCCAAGAGGCUCCUCUCCAGGGCAGCCCGACUGAGAAAGACCGUCUGAGAUCUUUUCCUGGCUCGGCCAAGCUUGUUGCAGGUUUUCUGGGCUGCAGGGGGUCCUGCCUGGAGCUGGCUGUCCUAUGCUGCUGGUCCACUAGGUCUUGGCACCCCCUGGGGGCUUGGGAAGGUAGCAGGGACACUGGAAACACAAGAGGCUCCUCCUCAGGGCAGCCUGACUCAGAAAGACCGUCUGAGGUCUUUUCCCGACUCAGCCAGGCUUGUUGCAGCUUUUCUGGGUUGCAGGGGGUCCUGCCUGGAGCUGGCAGCCCUAUGCAGCUGGUCCACUAGGUCUCGGCACCCCUUGGGGUCUUGGGCAGUUAGCAGGGCCGUUGGAGACCCAAGAGGCUCCUCCCUGGGGCAGCAUGACUCAGAAAAACCAUCUGAGAUCUUUUCCCGACUCAGCCAGGCUUGUUGCAGUUUUUCUGGGCUGCAGGGGGUCCUGCCUGGAGCUGGCAGUCCUAUGCAGCUGAUCCACUAGGGCACCCCCUGGGGGCUUGGGCGGGUAGCAGGGCCGCUGGAAACCCAAGAGGCUCCUCCCCGGGGCAGCCCGACUCAGAAAAACCAUCCGAGAAUCAGGCUAGGCUUGUUCUAGCUUUUCUGGGCUGCAGGCCUUUUCUAGGGGGCUGGUGGUGUUUGGUGCUGCUCUGCGGAAGUGUAGCCCCUCCAAAGGGCAAGCAGGCCUGUGCAGGGACAGCCCCUGCGGUGGUAGGCUUCAGGCAAUUGUUGAGGCCAGCCCUCCCGGAUGGCAGGCAGCCCCAGGUUCAGCGAGAGCAUAGGGGGUGGCGGGGGUGGGGGAAGGGGAUGCACUGGGAAGCACAGCUUUCUGCUAGCUAGCGGGCCUGUAAGCUUGCUGUGGCGUGGGGGGUAUUCUAUGGGGACCCACCCCUUCUUCUCUCCCCUCCCCAGCACGGGCGCAGACCAGGCUCUUCUCCCAGGUUCCCUCUGAGGCGGCUUUCCACUUCCCCGCCCCUAGAGUAUUGCUCCCUUCCUCUGCGACAGCUUUGUUUUCUAGUCUCCCAGGCAGUCUCUGCCCCGUCAAAUGGUUUAGAGACCUCCCAAGCAGUUUCCGCUCUUCCCCGCCCCCCUAGCCCGGGGACUAAUCUCUGGAGCCGAGGUCUCGGUGCCCAGCCCCCACCCAGGCGUCCCCCGGCCCUUUCUUGGGGACUAACCUUCGGAGGCGAGGUCUCGGUGCCCAGCCCCCACCCAGGCGUCCCCCGGCCCCCUCUCGGGGACCAACCUUCAGAGCUGAGGUCUCGGUGCCCAGCCCCCACCCAGGCGUCCCCCGGCCCUUUCCCGGGGACUAACCUCUGGAGCCGAGGAUUCGGUGCCCAGCCCCCACCCAGGCGUCUCAAUUUUUGGUGACUGUGCCCGUAGUUCAGAUGGUCCGUUCGGUUCUUGAUCGGAUUUUCCGUACUCCAACUUACUGCUACACUCUUCUCUGCAUCUGAAGAUUCCUCCGGUUCGUUUGAUCUUUCCCCCUUGUAGGUGACCUUCCAGGGUGCGGGAUCCCUUUCUCCUCUGCAGUUCCCUUUCGGGAGUGCCCGUCCCGCUCGGAUUCACCUUCUCUCACUCUCCUCUUUUCUCCCCGUUCUGCCCAGUAAUGUCACGAACUUCUUGCCGUUAUUGGAGUUUAGGUUCCUCUGCCAGCGAUUGGUUGCUGUUCUGUGCGAGUCAUUUAUUCUGUAGAUGUGCUUUUUUUGUUGUGUUUGUGGGAGAGGGCAAGCGUGUCCCCCUACUCCUCUGCCAUCUUGUCCUC
This 3408-nucleotide long non-coding RNA is filed under the name Sus scrofa (pig). Its description in RNAcentral is "lncRNA (ENSSSCG00025041486.1)". The record is from RNAcentral. Lineage: Eukaryota; Metazoa; Chordata; Mammalia; Artiodactyla; Suidae.